UGAAUACAGUUUCCAUGGAGCUUGCAACAAAAGAAGGAAAACAUCUUUGAUGUGUUUUCUUGGUGGAAGAUUUUUGUUCAGAUCACUCAGGCGGCUAAACAGAAAGCACCCUGUGCCCACAGGAGAACAGUCUGGAUGAAGGGUGUCCCGCCAAGUUAGAGCUCAGACUGCAUUUCCCUGUGCCACCUAGAAAUCAACAGAGGAGUGACUGAGAGCCAUUUCAGCCAAGAUGAUCCAGGUGCCAGUAUGUGACUUGAAACCCUUUCGUGUUGUCUUUGUUCCCUGUUGCUCCUGAGCUAGCGUAAGCACGGUUAUUCUGCACAACAG
Bos taurus (domestic cattle) is the source of this 327-nucleotide long non-coding RNA. The record is from Ensembl. Lineage: Eukaryota; Metazoa; Chordata; Mammalia; Artiodactyla; Bovidae.